UACGUAGGGUGCGAGCGUUAAUCGGAAUUACUGGGCGUAAAGCGUGCGCAGGCGGUUUUGUAAGCCAGAUGUGAAAUCCCCGGGCUUAACCUGGGAAUGGCAUUUGGGACUGCAAGGCUUGAGUGUGGCAGAGGAGACUAGAAUUCCUGGUGUAGCAGUGAAAUGCGUAGAUAUCAGGAGGAAUACCGAUGGCGAAGGCAGGUCUCUGGGCUGACACUGACGCUCAUGCACGAAAGCGUGGGGAGCAAACAGG
This 253-nucleotide ribosomal RNA is filed under the name uncultured bacterium. Its description in RNAcentral is "partial 16S ribosomal RNA". It matches the Rfam family "Bacterial small subunit ribosomal RNA", at positions 524 to 776 of the family's 1533-position model. The record is from RNAcentral.